UCGAACCUGGGCUCAGUUCAGAUGAAGCAUUUGGCCAUGAAUCUUGAUGCUUCACCAAAUCAGUAGACUAUUCUUUUCCAUUUAAAGUGCCUUGUGCGUUUUGGUGAGAACUCCAGUCUCCUGUAUGAAAAUGCAUACUCUAGAUGUCAUUGUUUUCCAUUUUUCCCAGGUGAACCAAGUGAAGUGAAAGCCGGCACCUCCAGGAUCAAACCAUCUGAUCUGCUAGUGCUCCUGGUGCUGCUUUUUGCUUGUUUUGGAUAUAUCUGGGCACCGUGAGAUGUUGCCUCGGAGAGGAUGCUGCACCAUCCGAGGCUGUCUGAUUGAAACCGGAGUACCAGGAGGAAACCCACGCAGGCACGGGGAGCACAUGCAAACUCCACACAGAGAGGCCCUGGCUGACGGGGAUCCGAACCCAGGACCUCCUUGCUGUGAGGCGGCAGUGCUACCCACUGCACCACCCGUGCCACCAUGUUGGAGAACCUGCCACAGUUAUUCUGCAGACUUUGGUUGGCUCCUUGCUUCUGAUC
This is a long non-coding RNA of Conger conger (European conger), 527 nucleotides long. RefSeq lists it as uncharacterized. Lineage: Eukaryota; Metazoa; Chordata; Actinopteri; Anguilliformes; Congridae. The transcript has 3 exons. The record is from RefSeq and is a predicted model, not a curated record.